AACGCAUAUUGCACUUUCUGGUAUUCCGGAAAGUAUGCCUGUUUGAGGGUCAGUUAAAUAAAAAUCGGUGUUGUUACUGCUUUUUGUGGUGACGCGUCGGAAUUGAGUCGUCUUAUCCUUCGGCUAAGUGACUUAAAAUUUUGUAUGAUUUUCGAACGUAUUUAAAUUGCUUACGUACGUUUGAGAUAUCGAAUGUUUAUUAGGUUCGGUCAUCCUCAUGACUCGCGCCUAUAAUUUUUUCAUUAAAUGACCUCAAAUCAGGUAAGAAUACCCGCUGAACUUAA
RNAcentral lists this unclassified non-coding RNA (284 nucleotides) under uncultured Glomerales. RNAcentral's name for it is "sequence contains 5.8S rRNA gene, ITS2, 28S rRNA gene". The stretch from base 1 to 52 matches the Rfam family "5.8S ribosomal RNA", at positions 103 to 154 of the family's 154-position model. The record is from RNAcentral. Lineage: Eukaryota; Fungi; Glomeromycota; Glomeromycetes; Glomerales; Glomeraceae.